RNAcentral lists this ribosomal RNA (232 nucleotides) under Clostridioides difficile. RNAcentral's name for it is "partial 23S ribosomal RNA". It matches the Rfam family "Bacterial large subunit ribosomal RNA", at positions 294 to 528 of the family's 2925-position model. Lineage: Bacteria; Bacillati; Bacillota; Clostridia; Peptostreptococcales; Peptostreptococcaceae. The record is from RNAcentral.
GGGGUUGCGGACAUAUCAUAACGAAGAGGUAUCGUAAUUGAAGAGGUUUGGAAAGACCCACCACAGAAGGUAAUAGUCCUGUAUGUUAAACGAGAAGACUUUAGAUAUGAUCCAGAGUACCACGGGACACGUGAAACCCUGUGGGAAGCAGGAGGGACCACCCUCCAAGGCUAAAUACUACCUAGUGACCGAUAGCGUAUAGUACCGUGAGGGAAAGGUGAAAAGAACCCCG